RNAcentral lists this long non-coding RNA (476 nucleotides) under Lathyrus oleraceus (garden pea). RNAcentral describes it as "Pisum sativum (pea) long non-coding RNA (PSAT_LNC039872)". The record is from RNAcentral. Lineage: Eukaryota; Viridiplantae; Streptophyta; Magnoliopsida; Fabales; Fabaceae.
AUUGCCUAAGUUAUAUACAAAUAAAAAUGAAAAAAUAAUAGAAACAUGUUAAUUAAAUAGUAAGACUAUAUAAUUAAAUGUGAGUUAUUAAUAAUAAUAAUAAUAAAAACUUAAUUGGCAAACAGGACUCCAGCUAAAUCAAACAAAAUUUGGAUUUUUUUCAAAAAAAGAAGAAAAGAAAGCAAAACAAAUAGGCCAACAUAAACAAAAGGGAAGCUUCACAAACGGGUGGGACCUGAAGACCCAUGAGGCCCAUUAGGGCAGAAUCCAGGCAGGUCAACCAAACCCUAAACCGGAUCCACAGGAGAACGUGGGGAAAAGGGAAAGCCACAGCUAACGGUCACAUGGGGACCGAAAAACCAUUAAUGCAGAGGGAGAAAACGAGGUGGUAGACGGCCUCGGGCAGUGGUAAAGGCGCUGCUUUUCUCUGGCCUUAACUCACUUAAUGCAAAAUGAAGAUGAACACGAGGUAUCCC